UGGGGAAUUUUGGACAAUGGGCGAAAGCCUGAUCCAGCAAUGCCGCGUGUGUGAAGAAGGCCUUCGGGUUGUAAAGCACUUUUGUCCGGAAAGAAAUCCUUGGCUCUAAUACAGUCGGGGGAUGACGGUACCGGAAGAAUAAGCACCGGCUAACUACGUGCCAGCAGCCGCGGUAAUACGUAGGGUGCAAGCGUUAAUCGGAAUUACUGGGCGUAAAGCGUGCGCAGGCGGUUUGCUAAGACCGAUGUGAAAUCCCCGGGCUCAACCUGGGAACUGCAUUGGUGACUGGCAGGCUAGAGUAUGGCAGAGGGGGGUAGAAUUCCACGUGUAGCAGUGAAAUGCGUAGAGAUGUGGAGGAAUACCGAUGGCGAAGGCAGCCCCCUGGCAAGUACUGACGCUCAUGCACGAAAGCGUGGGGAGCAAACGGAUUAAUNCCCUGGUAGUCCACGCCCUAAANGAUGUCAACUAGUUGUUGGGGAUUCAUUUCCUAGUAACGUAGCUAACGCGUGAAGUUGACCGCCUGGGGAGUACGGUCGCAAGAUUAAAACUCAAAUAAUUGACGGGGUCA
RNAcentral lists this ribosomal RNA (568 nucleotides) under uncultured bacterium. RNAcentral describes it as "partial 16S ribosomal RNA". It matches the Rfam family "Bacterial small subunit ribosomal RNA", at positions 355 to 921 of the family's 1533-position model. The record is from RNAcentral.